RNAcentral lists this ribosomal RNA (253 nucleotides) under uncultured bacterium. Its description in RNAcentral is "partial 16S ribosomal RNA". It matches the Rfam family "Bacterial small subunit ribosomal RNA", at positions 524 to 776 of the family's 1533-position model. The record is from RNAcentral.
UACGUAGGGUGCGAGCGUUAAUCGGAAUUACUGGGCGUAAAGUGUGCGCAGGCGGCCGAGCAAGUCGAGUGUGAAAGCCCCGAGCUUAACUUGGGAACUGCGCUCGAAACUACUUGGCUAGAGUGUGGCAGGGGGAGGUGGAAUUCCACGUGUAGCGGUGAAAUGCGUAGAGAUGUGGAGGAACACCGAUGGCGAAGGCAGCCUCCUGGGCCAACACUGACGCUCAUGCACGAAAGCGUGGGGAGCAAACAGG